GGCCCUACGGGGCGCAGCAGUCGCGAAAACUUUGCAAUACACGAAAGUGUGACAGGGCUAUCCCGAGUGCCAUCCGCUGAGGAAGGCUUUUACCCAGUCUAGAAAGCUGGGGGAAUAAGGAGAGGGCAAGUCUGGUGUCAGCCGCCGCGGUAAUACCAGCUCUCCGAGUGGUGUGGAUGUUUAUUGGGCCUAAAGCAUCCGUAGCUGGCUAAGUUAGUCCCCUGUUAAAUCCAACGAAUUAAUCGUUGGAUCGCGGGGGAUACUGCUUGGCUAGGGGACGAGAGAGGCAGACGGUAUUUCCGGGGUAGGGGUGAAAUCCUAUAAUCCCGGGAAGGCCACCAGUGGCGAAGGCUGUCUGCUAGAACGCGCCCGACGGUGAGGGAUGAAAGCUGGGGGAGCGAACCGGAUUAGAUACCCGGGUAGUCCCAGCUGUAAACGAUGCAGGCUAGGUGUUUGGACGGCCACGUGCCGUUCUAGUGCCGCAGGGAAGCUGUUAAGCCUGCCGCCUGGGGAGUACAAUCGCAAGAUUGAAACUUAAAGGAAUUGGCGGGGGAGCACCACAAGGGGUGAAGCUUGCGGUUUAAUUGGAGUCAACGCCGGAAAUCUCAC
This 609-nucleotide ribosomal RNA is filed under the name uncultured archaeon. RNAcentral describes it as "bacterial SSU rRNA". It matches the Rfam family "Archaeal small subunit ribosomal RNA", at positions 319 to 930 of the family's 1478-position model. The record is from RNAcentral.